Molecule: ribosomal RNA, 497 nt
Filed under: uncultured bacterium
Lineage: Bacteria
Description: partial 16S ribosomal RNA
Rfam family: Bacterial small subunit ribosomal RNA
Source: RNAcentral
GAUGAACGCUGGCGGCGUGCCUAAUACAUGCCAGUCGAGCGAACAGACGAGGAUGUUUCCCCUCUGUCACUUUCGCCGCGCGGGUGUGUGACACACGGAUAACACACCCAUAUGACUGGGAUAACAUUGGGAAACCGCGGCUCAAACCCCGGAAUAUAUUUAACUUCGCGGGUCAAUAUUGAAAAAGAGGUUUGCGCUCUCUUAUAUAGAGAUCCGCGCCGCAUUAGCUAGUUGGUGAGGUAACGGCUUACCAAGGCAACGAUGCGUAGCCGACCUGAGAGGGUGAUCGGCCACACUGGAACUGAGACACGGUCCAGACUCCUACGGGAGGCAGCAGUAGGGAAUCUUCCGCAAUGGGCGAAAGCCUGACGGAGCAACGCCGCGUGAGUGAUGAAGGUCUUCGGAUCGUAAAACUCUGUUAUUAGGGAAGAACAAAUGUGUAAGUAACUAUGCACGUCUUGACGGUACCUAAUCAGAAAGCCACGGCUAACUACGUG